This 851-nucleotide long non-coding RNA is filed under the name Nicotiana benthamiana. RNAcentral describes it as "long non-coding RNA (NBEN_LNC002537)". Lineage: Eukaryota; Viridiplantae; Streptophyta; Magnoliopsida; Solanales; Solanaceae. The record is from RNAcentral.
AAAAAAGUUGAUUUGCAUACUCUUAAAUUGCCAUGUAAUGUUAAAUUUAAUCCUUCUUUCGAACACAAAAAUAUGAUUAUAUUAAGAGGUUCCCUUUUAAAAGGUUAAAUAAUAAGGUGAUGUUAGAAUUGGAAGUCUUGUAUCCCUUUUAAAAGGUUAAAAAUUUAUGGUCGGCGCCAAAAGUAAAGUAGCAAUACCUUGCAUCCGCCUCAGGCUUAAGAUUUAAACUGAUACAAUAAAUAAAGUGCAUGUUAUGUGGAAUGCAUAAGGAGGGACAUAGAAAGGAAGAACUUUGUGAUUUCCUAUAUCCUUAUAUGGAUUGCUUUGCACAAGAUUCAGAUGAAGAGAAUACUAUUAUUUAGGGAUAUCUCUACUCAUGGAGUAGCUCUAUAUUAUACUUAUUUUUAACAACUAAAAGUCUCUUUUCUUUCUGUCUUUUUCUUUUUCCUUUUGUUAUAUAUGCUAUUAAAUUUUGUUUCAAGCUCCUAAUGACACCAAAUUGUAACCUGGAAUCAUGCAUUUAUUAGGUUUAAGGCGUGUAUUAAUUCUCCGUACCAUUCAAAAAUACUAAGUUUAUCACAAAGUAAAAAAAUUAAGCCGGUAUAUUUUGCAUCUAAAUAUUUUAAUUUUUCCCCCUAAGUUUAGGUUUCAGAUGAGUAUGCAAAAUUGUUACAACAACAGUCUAGUAUGCAGAAUGUUAUAUGUCUUAAAUUCUCCUUAAUAGAAUGCUUUACUGUUGAGAUAAGAGAAAAUACAUGAUAUAGCGUUGUAUAGCCUUGUACAUUUUAUGUAUACUCAUUGUAUAUUUUCGGUAUAUCCAUGGUAUAUCUUGUAAUUGGGCUAUGAUGAUU